GACGAACGCUGGCGGCGUGCCUAACACAUGCAAGUCGAGCGGGGUUGAGGCGAGAGGUAACUCGAACUUCUACCUAGCGGCGGACGGGUGAGUAACGCGUGGGCAACCUGCCUCAAGGUUUGGGAUAACAGCCCGAAAGGGCUGCUAAUACCGGAUAUGCCUAUGGCCUCGCAUGGGGCUAUGAGCAAAGGGGAAACCCGCCUUGAGAUGGGCCCGCGUCCCAUCAGCUAGUUGGUGAGGUAACAGCUCACCAAGGCGACGACGGGUAGCCGGCCUGAGAGGGUGACCGGCCACACUGGGACUGAGACACGGCCCAGACUCCUACGGGGGGCAGCAGUGGGGGAUCUUGCACAAUGGGCGAAAGCCUGAUGCAGCGACGCCGCGUGAGCGAAGAAGGCCUCGGUUGUAAAGCUCUGUCUGGAGGGACGGAACAAAAUGACGGUACCUCCGGACGGAAGCCACGGCUAACUACGUGCCAGCAGCCGCCGGUAAAAGUCAACGUCG
Molecule: ribosomal RNA, 504 nt
Filed under: uncultured bacterium
Lineage: Bacteria
Description: bacterial SSU rRNA
Rfam family: Bacterial small subunit ribosomal RNA
Source: RNAcentral